This 24-nucleotide non-coding RNA is filed under the name Arabidopsis thaliana (thale cress). Lineage: Eukaryota; Viridiplantae; Streptophyta; Magnoliopsida; Brassicales; Brassicaceae. The record is from RNAcentral.
AGAAGUUAGUCUAUCGUAUCGGAU